UGCGUAGGCGGCGCGGUAAGUCGGGUGUGAAAUCUCGGAGCUUAACUCCGAAACUGCAUUCGAUACUGCCGUGCUUGAGGACUGGAGAGGAGACUGGAAUUUACGGUGUAGCGGUGAAAUGCGUAGAUAUCGUAAGGAAGACCAGUGGCGAAGGCGGGUCUCUGGACAGUUCCUGACGCUGAGGCACGAAGGCAGGGAGGCAAACG
Molecule: ribosomal RNA, 206 nt
Filed under: uncultured bacterium
Lineage: Bacteria
Description: partial 16S ribosomal RNA
Rfam family: Bacterial small subunit ribosomal RNA
Source: RNAcentral